UGCACUUUUGAGGCACUGGGGCUGGCCA
Molecule: non-coding RNA, 28 nt
Filed under: Mus musculus (house mouse)
Lineage: Eukaryota; Metazoa; Chordata; Mammalia; Rodentia; Muridae
Source: RNAcentral